RNAcentral lists this ribosomal RNA (252 nucleotides) under uncultured bacterium. RNAcentral's name for it is "partial 16S ribosomal RNA". It matches the Rfam family "Bacterial small subunit ribosomal RNA", at positions 524 to 776 of the family's 1533-position model. The record is from RNAcentral.
UACGUAGGGGGCGAGCGUUAUCCGGAUUCAUUGGGCGUAAAGCGCGCGUAGGCGGCCGCCUAAGCGGAACCUCUAACCCCGGGGCUCAACCUCGGGCCGGGUUCCGGACUGGGCGGCUCGAGUGCGAUAGAGGAGAGCGGAAUUCCCGGUGUAGCGGUGGAAUGCGCAGAUAUCGGGAAGAACACCGAUGGCGAAGGCAGCUCUCUGGGCCGUCACUGACGCUGAGGCGCGAAAGCUGGGGGAGCGAACAGG